RNAcentral lists this long non-coding RNA (419 nucleotides) under Sorghum bicolor (sorghum). RNAcentral's name for it is "long non-coding RNA (SBIC_LNC013341)". Lineage: Eukaryota; Viridiplantae; Streptophyta; Magnoliopsida; Poales; Poaceae. The record is from RNAcentral.
UUCAAACGAACUUUUUUGUUUUUUUUUGUGACUUGCUAGCUUGUAUUAAGCUCAGCUGGCCGAGGCCUCAAGUAUUACAAGAUCAUCCACACAUGCUGGAGUUACAUGCCACCUCUCCAGCCUAUGUGUUUCAGAGACCUGCUUGGCUAAAACAUGGGUUACUUUAUUACAAAUUUACAAACUCGAUUAACAAAAGAGAAAGAGAAAUCUAGUAAGCCUUGGCUAAGCUCCACAAUUUCCUUCAGAACAGGGGCAAUGACUGAGCGUUGCAUUCCUCUCCUUUUCCAGAGCUGGACAACGUCAAGGCAAUCAGUCUCCAAGUGUACUCGUUGGAACCCAGCUUGGACUGCCAUCUUGAUGCCAUCACGACACGCCGUAGCUUCUAUAGUGCAAACGUCAAGGACCUGCUCAUACCAAGU